AUCCAAGUGCAAGGGUUUGAUCUCUCACCGUGAAGAUUCGUCUGAGUGGAGAUUUUUGCUAGUUGAAAACUAUAAACCGACCAGCUUCUCGUGGGCUUCGGCCUGCGAGAGAAUUUUUGGCCCAUUUUUCCUCCUGGCAGGAU
Molecule: small nuclear RNA, 143 nt
Filed under: Phaeoacremonium minimum UCRPA7
Lineage: Eukaryota; Fungi; Ascomycota; Sordariomycetes; Togniniales; Togniniaceae
Description: U4 spliceosomal RNA
Rfam family: U4 spliceosomal RNA
About the family: U4 small nuclear RNA (U4 snRNA) is a component of the major U2-dependent spliceosome. The structure of U4 snRNA from yeast and human has been reported.
Source: Rfam by way of RNAcentral